This 200-nucleotide ribosomal RNA is filed under the name uncultured prokaryote. RNAcentral describes it as "partial 16S ribosomal RNA". It matches the Rfam family "Bacterial small subunit ribosomal RNA", at positions 1196 to 1395 of the family's 1533-position model. The record is from RNAcentral.
CGGCCCUUACGCCUGGGGCUAGACACGUGCUACAAUGGUCGGUACAGCGGGCAGCAAGCUGGCGACAGCAAGCUAAUCCCUAAAAACCGAUCUCAGUUCGGAUUGGAGUCUGCAAUUCGACUCCAUGAAGCUGGAAUCGCUAGUAAUCGCGGAUCAGCAUGCCGCGGUGAAUACGUUCCCGGGCCUUGUACACACCGCCC